Molecule: ribosomal RNA, 6081 nt
Filed under: Emiliania huxleyi CCMP1516
Lineage: Eukaryota; Haptophyta; Isochrysidales; Noelaerhabdaceae
Description: 28S_rRNA
Rfam family: Eukaryotic large subunit ribosomal RNA (bases 452-3708)
Source: RNAcentral
ACUCCUGCCGAUGGAUAUCUUGGCUCUCGCAACGAUGAAGAACGCAGCGAAAUGCGAUACGUAGUGCGAAUUGCAGAAUUCAGUGAAUCAUCGAACCUUUGAACGCAAAUGGCGCAUCCGGGCUCCGCUCGGACGCAUGUCUCUUCGAGGGGCGCCUCCAUCCUCCUCGGAGCGAGAGAGCUCUCUCUCUCGUCUCCGGAGCCGGCGGCCGCGCGGGGGAGCCUCGGCCCCCUCGCGCGCCCGCCCAAGGCUGCCUUGCGAGCGCGGCGGCGGCGUCUAACCCGCGUCCCCGCCGGAGUGCUAAGUCCACGACUAGACCUCCGGCGGACGCGUGCCCCGUUCUGCCUCGCGACCCCCCGGCGUGCGCGGUGCCUCUCCUCUCCUCCGGGAGAGCGAGGCCCGCCCGCCCCGGCGCGCGGCCGCUCUCUGUGCGGCCGCGCGCCUCGAAACCCGCCAUCGAAUGAGGCAAGACUACCCGCUGAACUUAAGCAUAUCACUAAGCGGAGGAGAAGAAACUAACCAGGAUGCCCCUAGUAAUGGCGAAUGAAGCGGGCUGAGCUCACGCUGCCAAUCUGGAGGCCUCGCGUAUGCAGCGCCCCCCGAAUUGUGGUCUAGAGAGGCGUUAUCGGCCGCGCCCGCCGCUCAAGUCCCUUGGAACAGGGUGUCGGAGAGGGUGAGAAUCCCGUACCGUGGCGGGUUGCGCCCUUACGAUGCGUCCUCGUCGAGUCGGGUUGCUUGGGAUUGCAGCUUGAAUUGGGUGGUAAAUUCCAUCUAAAGCUAAAUACUGGCGAGAGACCGAUAGCGAACAAGUACCGUGAGGGAAAGAUGCAAAGAACUUUGAAAAGAGAGUCAAAGAGUGCUUGAAAUCGGUAGGAGGAAACCCGGAUGGGCCCGGCUUCGGCGCGCCGACUCAGCCUGGGGUUCUCCCCAGGUGCACUUCUGCGCGCCGGGUCAGCCGCGCCUCGGCGCCGCGCCUCAACCCGGGAGCGGGGCUUUACGGCCAGCUCCCGUCCUGGCGCGGCCCGGGGCCCGGCUGACGGAACGGGCCCCUCCGACCCGUCUAGAAACACGGACCAAGGAGUCUGACACGUGUGCGAGUACCCGGGUGGCAAGCCCGCGUGCGGAAUGAAAGUGAAGGGCAUGCCCUGCCAACCGACCUUGACCUGCUGUGAGGGGUUUGAGUGGAGCACACCUGUCGGGACCCGAAAGAUGGUGAACUAUGCCUGGGUAGGGUGAAGCCAGAGGAAACUCUGGUGGAGGCUCGUAGCGAUACUGACGUGCAAAUCGUUCGUCGAAUCUGGGCAUAGGGGCGAAAGACUAAUCGAACCAUCUAGUAGCUGGUUCCCUCCGAAGUUUCCCUCAGGAUAGCUUGAACGCAACGGUUUUGUCAGGUAAAGCGAAUGAUUAGAGGCCUGUGGGCUGAAACAGCUUGCACCUAUUCUCAAACUUUAAAUGGGCAAGAGGCCCGGGAUGCUUGAGUGAUCCCGGGCGGCGAACGGCGCGUUCAAAGUGGGCCAUUUUUGGUAAGCAGAACUGGCGAUGCGGGAUGAACCGAACGCCGCGCUAAGGUACCCAAGUGUCCGCUCAUCAGAUACCACAAAAGGCGUUGGUACCUCCAGACAGCAGGACGGUGGCCAUGGAAGUCGGAACCCGCUAAGGAGUGUGUAACAACUCACCUGCCGAAGGUACUAGCCCUGAAAAUGGAUGGCGCUCAAGCGGACCACCGAUGCGCGGCCGCCGGCGCGAGCGCGAGGCGCCGGCGAGUAGGAGGGCGCGGGGCUCGCGGCGCAGCCUUGGGCGCGAGCCUGGGUGAAGCGGGCCCCGGUGCAGAUCUUGGUGGUAGUAGCAAAUAUUCAAAUGAGAACUUUGAAGACUGAAGUGGAGAAAGGUUCCGUGUGAACAGCAGUUGGACACGGGUGAGCCGACCCUAAGAGACAGGAAAACUCCGCCGAACGCGGCUGGUUCUGUCAGCCCGUCCGUCGAAAGGGAAUCGGGUUAAUAUUCCCGAGCCAGCGCGUGGAUGGUGGGCGGCGACGCGAACGAACCCGGAGACGCCGGCGGGAGCCCUGGGAAGAGUUCUCUUUUCUUCUUAACUGCCUCCUGCCCUGGAAUCGGUUUAGCCGGAGCGAGGGCUACACGGCAGGCAAAGCACCCUAAGUCUUGGGGUGUCCGGCGCGCUCCCGACGGCCCGUGAAAAUCCGGGGGAGCGGUUCGUUCUCACGCCUGGUCGUACUCAUAACCGCAUCAGGUCUCCAAGGUGAACAGCCUCUAGUCGAUAGAGCAAUGUAGGUAAGGGAAGUCGGCAAAAUGGUUCCGCAACCUCGGGAGAAGGAAUGGCUCUGAAGGCUGGGCGCAGGGGUCCUAGGCUCGAGGCCGGCUGGCUGCGCGGGGACUACGGCCUCACGGCUGCGGAUCCCGCGCGGCCGUCCGGCGGACGGCCUAGGAGCGCUCCGGCUCUCCCUGCGCGACGAACAGCCGCUUCAGAACUGGCGCGGACAAGGGGAAUCCGACUGUUUAAUUAAAACAAAGCAUUGCGAUGGCCCGCGAGGGUGCUGACGCAAUGUGAUUUCUGCCCAGUGCUCUGAAUGUCAAAGUGAAGAAAUUCAACCAAGCGCGGGUAAACGGCGGGAGUAACUAUGACUCUCUUAAGGUAGCCAAAUGCCUCGUCAUCCAAUUAGUGACGCGCAUGAAUGGAUUCGUGAGAUUCCCACUGUCCCUAUCUACUGUCUAGCGAAACCACAGCCAAGGGAACGGGCUUGGAAGAAUCAGCGGGGAAAGAAGACCCUGUUGAGCUUGACUCUAGUCUGUUACUGUGGAACGACUUGAUGGGUGUAGAAUAUGCGGGAGGGGCAACCCGACAGUGAAAUACCGCAACCGUCAACGUUGUUUUACUUACUCGGUGGCGCGGAGGGAGGCUCGCCUCACUUCUGGAUCCAAGCCGCUUCGUGCGCGCGAUCCGCGUCGGGGACACUAACAGGUGGGGAGUUUGGCUGGGGCGGCACGUCUGUUAAAAAAUAACGCAGGCGCCCGAUUUUGAGCUCAAUGAGAACAGAAAUCUCAUGUGGACCGAAAGGGGAAAAGCUCGGUUGAUUUUGAUUUUCAGUACGAAUACAAACCGCGAAAGCGUGGCCUAUCGAUCCUCUCGUCUUUGGGAAUUUCAAGCUAGAGGUGUCAGAAAAGUUACCACAGGGAUAACUGGCUUGUGGCUGCCAAGCGUUCAUAGCGACGUAGCUUUUUGAUCCUUCGAUGUCGGCUCUUCCUAUCACUGCCUCGCAGCGGGGGCCAAAUGCAGGAUUGUUCACCCACCAACAGGGAACGUGAGCUGGGUUUAGACCGUCGUGAGACAGGUUAGUUUUACCCUACUGCUGUCUGUUUUUCUACGGUAAUUUGGUUCAGUACGAGAGGAACCACCAAUUCGCAUCAUCGGUAUAGCCGCCGCCGGAAACGGCGAUGCGGCGAAGCUGCCAUGCGCCGGAUUAUAACUGAACGCCUCUAAGUUAGAAUCCAUGCCGGAAGGAAAGCCACCUACCGGCCCGGGGACGCCACGAGCAACGGUAGCACUGCCUGAGCCGCGAGCGACCACAAUUCACGGACCCGGGCCGACGAAUCCCUUGCAGACGACUUGAAUAAGGAACGGGGUAUUGUACGCGGCAGAGUGGCCUUGUUGCCACGAUCCGCUGAGAUUCAGCCUUGGUUCUGACGAUUUGUUGCGCGCGCGCAACAACCCUCAGGGCCUCUCCCGUUCCCCAGUCGCUCUCCUGGCGCUCUCGCCCCCUCGCCUCUCCUCCGAGCCUCACUCGCUCGGGGGCGGAGCCGAGGGGGCGAGAGCGCCAAUUUUGCCCAAGGCAGCGCGCAGGCCACUGCGCAGACACACCCGGCUCUCCCCGAGCCGCCACUGGGCGCUCCCGCGGUCCCCUCCGGGCUGAAUGCGGCCUCCGGAGCGGGCGGCGCGAGCGUCUAAGUCUACUCAGAGCCUCCACGCUCUUCUUUCCGUUCCAAAGCACCCACUGCGCUCCUCUGUAGCAUCGCCCGGCCAACUCGCUUGCCCACUGUCAUUGCCCCCGCCGCCCUCUCACUGUGGCCACCCUGUACCGUUUCCUCCACCGCCCUCGCCACCACCCUCGCCACCGCCCUCGCCACCGCCCUCGCCACCGCCCCCACGCCGCCGCUACCAUUCCGGCCACCCUCGCCGCCCCCACCCUCAUCCCCACCUUGCCCCCGCCGCCCGUUGCAGCUGCAAUCCCCACCCGCCCUCCGACGCUAGCCCCCGCCCUCACCGCCGCCCUCACCGCCGCCCGCGCCGCCACCCUCGCCGCCAUCCUCGCCUCCGCCUCCCGCCCCGCCGCCGCCGCCCUCCAGCAUGCCGCCGCUUCUCACCCUCUCCGCUCCAGGCCGCCCCACCGCCCUAGCUGGCCGCCCCCCCCUCGUCACCACCGUCACCUCCACCGCCCUCGCCGCCGGCCUGCCCCAAGGCAGUGCGCAGGCCACUACGCAGACACACCCGGCUCUCUCCGAGCCGCCACUGGGCGCUCCCGCGGUCCCCUCCGGGCUGAAUGCGGCCUCCGGAGCGGGCGGCGCAAGCGUCCUACCCCCUCAGAGCCUUCCAUGCUCUUCUUUGCGUUUUCCGAAGCACACAGCACUCCUCUAGCAUCACCCACAAGUCACCUCCGUUGCCACUGUCCUUGGACCUCCUCACCGCCACCGCCCUCCUCACCACCGUCUCCACCGCCGCUGCUCUCACCACCCUCGCCACCACCACCAUGCCCGCCUCCCUCGCUGCCACCCACGCCGCCGCCACCGCCCCCACCCCCUCCGCUGCCCUCGCCCUUGCCGUCACCGCGCCGCGAGAUCUCUUACACUAUCCCCCGACCCUUGCCGCCGCCCUUGCCGCCGCCCUCGCUGCCGCCCUCGCCGCCGCCUCCCGCCUCGCCGCGCCGCCCUCACCCCUGCCUCCCUCGGCCUGCUGCCACUCUCACCACCCCUCGCCCUCGCCGCCGCCGCCCUCCUCGCCGCCGGGGCCCGCCCUCGCAGCCACGGCACCCUUGCCCCCUCCACCCUCCUCUCCGCCCCCGCCCCCGCCCCAGCUCGCCGUCGCCCUNNNNNNNNNNNNNNNNNNNNNNNNNNNNNNNNNNNNNNNNNNNNNNNNNNNNNNNNNNNNNNNNNNNNNNNNNNNNNNNNNNNNNNNNNNNNNNNNNNNNCAUCCCCACCCCCAUCUUCCGCCCCUUCUUUCUCGCUCCUCACCCCACGAACCCACGAACCAUCACCACCGCCGUUGCCACCGAGCACUGUCCCCACCGCCUCCCCCGGGCCUGCCGCCGCUCUCGCCCUCCGCUCCCCACCCCCGCAGCUCCUCCCCGCCCCCUCCGGACCUCCCACGCCGCCGCCGCCAUCCCAGCCGCUGCCAGCCCACCCGCCCUUGCGCUUUUGCCACCACCUCCCUCGUCUCCUCCGCCCCCACCACCACCGCUGUCACCGCCGCCCUCGCCGCCGCCACCAUCCCAGCCACCCUCGCCGCCCCCACCUUCACCGCCGCCCUUACUCGCAGCCACCCUCCCCACACCGCCGCCCUCGUUGCCGCCCUCGCCACUGCCGCCGCCCUCUCACCCGCCGUCCCUACCGCCGCGCCCUCGCCGCUGCCCUCCCCGCCCCCUCCCAACACCCGCCAGCCUCCGCCGCACCGGCCGGCAUGCCACCGCUCUUGCCCUCGCCCCCCGCCGCCAUUGCCGCCUCCGUCACCGCCGCCGCCACCCUCGAGCCUCCGGUCACCACCGUCUCCACCGCCGCCCUCGCCGCCACACCGCCCUUAGCUCACCCCCACCCCCAUCGUUGCUGCCGUCGCCGCCACCUACCACGCCCCCGCCGCCCUCGCUGCCGCCUUGCCGCCCCCCCACCCUCAUCCUUACCAUUGCCCCCGCCACCCUCGCAGCCACCCUCGCCCCCACCGCCCUCGUCGCUGCCCUCGCCGCCGCCGCCGCCUCCACCCUCACCCUUACCAUUGCCCCCGCCAAUCAUCGAAUCGAGCAAUGGGAGCGCUUGUCGCACGGCGUUGUCCGUCGAGCGAUUGCGGUUCACGGACGUUGU